GACGAACGCUGGCGGCGUGCUUAACACAUGCAAGUCGAACGGAAAGGCCCUGCAUUUGUGGGGUGCUCGAGUGGCGAACGGGUGAGUAACACGUGAGUAACCUGCCCUUGACUUUGGGAUAACUUCAGGAAACUGGGGCUAAUACCGGAUAGGAGCUCCUGCUGCAUGGUGGGGGUUGGAAAGUUUCGGCGGGUGGGGAUGGACUCGCGGCUUAUCAGCUUGUUGGUGGGGUAGUGGCUUACCAAGGCUUUGACGGGUAGCCGGCCUGAGAGGGUGACCGGCCACAUUGGGACUGAGAUACGGCCCAGACUCCUACGGUAGGCAGCAGUGGGGAGUAUUGCACAAUGGGCGGAAGCCUGAUGCAGCAACGCCGCGUGCGGGAUGACGGCCUUCGGGUUGUAAACCGCUUUCGCCUGUGACGAAGCGUGAGUGACGGUAAUGGGUAAAGAAGCACCGGCUAACUACGUG
RNAcentral lists this ribosomal RNA (468 nucleotides) under uncultured bacterium. RNAcentral describes it as "partial 16S ribosomal RNA". It matches the Rfam family "Bacterial small subunit ribosomal RNA", at positions 28 to 507 of the family's 1533-position model. The record is from RNAcentral.